CAAUCAAACCGGGAGAUAGCUGGUUCUCCCCGAAAGCUAUUUAGGUAGCGCCUCGUGAAUUCAUCUCCGGGGGUAGAGCACUGUUUCGGCAAGGGGGUCAUCCCGACUUACCAACCCGAUGCAAACUACGAAUACCGGAGAAUGUUAUCACGGGAGACACACGGCGGGUGCUAACGUCCGUCGUGAAGAGGGAAACAACCCAGACCGCCAGCUAAGGUCCCAAAGUCAUGGUUAAGUGGGAAACGAUGUGGGAAGGCCCAGACAGCCAGGAUGUUGGCUUAGAAGCAGCCAUCAUUUAAAGAAAGCGUAAUAGCUCACUGGUCGAGUCGGCCUGCGCGGAAGAUGUAACGGGGCUAAACCAUGCACCGAAGCUGCGGCAGCGACGCUUAUGCGUUGUUGGGUAGGGGAGCGUUCUGUAAGCCUGUGAAGGUGUGCUGUGAGGCAUGCUGGAGGUAUCAGAAGUGCGAAUGCUGACAUAAGUAACGAUAAAGCGGGUGAAAAGCCCGCUCGCCGGAAGACCAAGGGUUCCUGUCCAACGUUAAUCGGGGCAGGGUGAGUCGACCCCUAAGGCGAGGCCGAAAGGCGUAGUCGAUGGGAAACAGGUUAAUAUUCCUGUACUUGGUGUUACUGCGAAGGGGGGACGGAGAAGGCUAUGUUGGCCGGGCGACGGUUGUCCCGGUUUAAGCGUGUAGGCUGGUUUUCCAGGCAAAUCCGGAAAAUCAAGGCUGAGGCGUGAUGACGAGGCACUACGGUGCUGAAGCAACAAAUGCCCUGCUUCCAGGAAAAGCCUCUAAGCAUCAGGUAACAUCAAAUCGUACCCCAAACCGACACAGGUGGUCAGGUAGAGAAUACCAAGGCGCUUGAGAGAACUCGGGUGAAGGAACUAGGCAAAAUGGUGCCGUAACUUCGGGAGAAGGCACGCUGAUAUGUAGGUGAAGUCCCUCGCGGAUGGAGCUGAAAUCAGUCGAAGAUACCAGCUGGCUGCAACUGUUUAUUAAAAACACAGCACUGUGCAAACACGAAAGUGGACGUAUACGGUGUGACGCCUGCCCGGUGCCGGAAGGUUAAUUGAUGGGGUUAGCGCAAGCGAAGCUCUUGAUCGAAGCCCCGGUAAACGGCGGCCGUAACUAUAACGGUCCUAAGGUAGCGAAAUUCCUUGUCGGGUAAGUUCCGACCUGCACGAAUGGCGUAAUGAUGGCCAGGCUGUCUCCACCCGAGACUCAGUGAAAUUGAACUCGCUGUGAAGAUGCAGUGUACCCGCGGCAAGACGGAAAGACCCCGUGAACCUUUACUAUAGCUUGACACUGAACAUUGAGCCUUGAUGUGUAGGAUAGGUGGGAGGCUUUGAAGUGUGGACGCCAGUCUGCAUGGAGCCGACCUUGAAAUACCACCCUUUAAUGUUUGAUGUUCUAACGUUGACCCGU
This 1424-nucleotide ribosomal RNA is filed under the name Escherichia coli. RNAcentral's name for it is "partial 23S ribosomal RNA". It matches the Rfam family "Bacterial large subunit ribosomal RNA", at positions 830 to 2236 of the family's 2925-position model. Lineage: Bacteria; Pseudomonadati; Pseudomonadota; Gammaproteobacteria; Enterobacterales; Enterobacteriaceae. The record is from RNAcentral.